This 113-nucleotide ribosomal RNA is filed under the name Octodon degus (degu). Lineage: Eukaryota; Metazoa; Chordata; Mammalia; Rodentia; Octodontidae. The record is from RNAcentral.
GGUUCACACAACCCUGAAUGCACCGGAUCUCCUUUCUUCUCCGAAGCUAAGCAGGGUCGGGCUUGGCUAGUACUUGGAUAGAAAAUGACCGAAAUUAUAUGUAAUAUAGAUCA